Molecule: non-coding RNA, 228 nt
Organism: Vicia faba (fava bean)
Lineage: Eukaryota; Viridiplantae; Streptophyta; Magnoliopsida; Fabales; Fabaceae
Source: the annotation of a GenBank genome assembly
AUGCAUGAUUCAAAUGGCGUAGAGAUAUCAAAUAUCAUGUUUUUUGACAACGAGAAUUGUCAUCAAGACUUUCCCUAUCAAAAGAUACCAACUCUACAAUUGAAUCAAGUUUCAAAUGUUAUAGAUAACAAGGACAUCGAUGAUGAUGUUCAGAUUAUUGACAAUUUGAAACUUGAGCCUUUGAUGGAGCGACAUGCAAAAAAGAGAUGGCUUAUGCAUCUUCUUUAG